GUGGCCAUAAUUUUUUAUGUUGACUUUGAGGCCGAAUGACUCCUCUUUAUUCCAGAUUGCUUGAGUUGGGCCUGAAGGACUGGGGUUGGUCUCUUGAUGUUGAAAUGGAUGAUGACGAUGUAUUAGACUUCUGAGGAUUAACCUAAGUUGGAUAGGUGAUAAUCCAUCUGGAAGCAAUGAAAGCGGAGAAUGUCAUAGUGUUCUUUUUGGCAAAUGGCAGGACUUCCAAGUGCCAAACUCCACAAGUAUAAAUGACUGGGGAAAGGGGGGGUGGGGUCUAAUAUUUAACACUGAACAUGCCAUAAAUCAUCUAAAGGGUGUAGUUUCCAUUUUAAGUCGUUUUAAGGGUGUUUUAUGUCUUCCUAGACUGUACAAUUCUUCAAAAACUAAAUUAAAGUAAAAGCAUUUUAAACUUCGGAAGUUAUUUUUGGUUUCCUUGCAAGGUUGUCAGAUGUGACUGUUUGCCUGAGUGUGUUUGAAACAGAAUAUAUACUUCAGCUCUGCAAUUACAUGAUCAUCUGAAUUUAUAUACUCAAGUAUUCUAUUUUUGUUAGGAAAAACAGAUAAAUAUUUAGUGACAGAUUAUAUUUUUAUCAUGCAUUAUAUCAAAGCACACUUUUGAAAAAUGCUUUUCAAAGAGCAUUACUUAGUUGUUUGCCAGAACUAUCUGCUCAAAAUAUAUGCAUUAUUGAAGACUGAUAUUACAUGAUGCAAGGAUGCAAUCCGUAGCACAUUUGAGCAUUUUAUUAAUUGCUGUGACAAAAAUUAGAUACAACCUGUAUCCAUAGUGGAACAUGAAGACCUCCGGUCCAAACAUUUUCUGUAUUUGAUCAUUUUGCCACUGACAACUGUUGAAACAUUGUGAAAUUGUUAAUAAAAAAGAUUUAUUUGAUGGAA
This is a long non-coding RNA of Sinocyclocheilus grahami, 897 nucleotides long. RefSeq lists it as uncharacterized. NCBI's taxonomy places the organism in Eukaryota, Metazoa, Chordata, Actinopteri, Cypriniformes, Cyprinidae. The record is from RefSeq and is a predicted model, not a curated record. The transcript has 2 exons.